AGAUACAUCUGCCUGCAUCACCCUGGCUUAGGCCUGGUGUCCUGAUUGCUCACAAAGAGGGGUACAAGCCUUCCAUAUUGUCCUGACAAUGAACCAGGAACAGAAAGGACGUAUCACUUCCAGCAGACAGAGUUGUGAACUGGUGACUCCCUUACCUCAUCUGAGCCUUCAAGUGAGCUGCGGUGCCAGCCUCUGUGGAAAGCCCUCGCUGACCCCGUGCAGG
Molecule: long non-coding RNA, 223 nt
Organism: Chinchilla lanigera (long-tailed chinchilla)
Lineage: Eukaryota; Metazoa; Chordata; Mammalia; Rodentia; Chinchillidae
Exons: 3
Source: RefSeq, a predicted model, not a curated record